This is a long non-coding RNA of Homo sapiens (human), 1177 nucleotides long. Ensembl annotates it as COQ7 divergent transcript. Its record names the gene COQ7-DT. NCBI's taxonomy places the organism in Eukaryota, Metazoa, Chordata, Mammalia, Primates, Hominidae. The record is from Ensembl.
GGUUGCCAGGGAGAUGAAAAUGCUAAAUUGCUGUUUAGAAAGAUCAGGACAAGGUUAUGAUUUCUCACCCAAGUUCCUGGGGAAAAGGAUCAUGAGGGAAUUACUUAUUAACAAGGCACGGUAUUUCCUGCUUUACCUACGUGGAAGGAGAUUUUUUUUUUUAUUUGUAUCCUACAUCUACUUUAAAAUAGAAAAAGCAAAGAGGAACUUUACAAACUAUUACAGUUUUCCAUCAUCACUUGACUGCUGACAAGAAGCCUCUUUGAAUUCCAGUAUACACGAUCACAUUUUAAAACCUUCAAGACGCCGUUUAAUCAGGAGUUGUAAGGCACAUUUGUUAGAGAGAGCUGCACUUUAAAAGUUAUACAGACAUCACCUGAAGUUAUUAAAGUUAUCAAAACAUAUUAAAAACCUUCAAGUAAGAGGCUACUCCCCAGGAAACGUGUGGAGCCAGUGAACGGAAGAAAAACAAUGGAAGGAAGGCUUGAAAAGUCCAUUACAAAACUACAGUCCUUUGAAAAAGAUUUCAAAGAUAUUAAAAUGAAAACUGAUUACAUUAAACAAUAACUUAAACUUCUGUUCUUCUGUUAAAAGGUUGACAUCUAUCAAUUUUGGGUAAGCUUACAAUGAGGUAUUUAUUGCAUAUGGUUUUUACCAUAACGGAAAUCUUAAGAGAUAUUCUACAUUUUUUUUUUAGGGAGAGUUUUGCUCUUUUUGCCCAGGCUGGAGUGCAAUGGUGUGAUCUCAGCUCACUGCAAACUCCACCUCCUGGGUUCAAGCAAUUCUCCUGCCUCAGCCUCCUGAGUAGCUGAUAUUACAGGCAUGUGCCACCACACCCAGCUAAUUUUGUAUUUUAGUGGAGACGGAGUUUCUCCACGUUGGUCAGGCUGGUCUUGAACUCCCCAACUUAGGUGCUCCGCCUGCCUCGGCCUCCCAAAGUGUUGGGAUAACAGGCGUGAGCCGCUGCGCCCAGCCACAUGUUUUGUGAAAUAAAGGCACAUGCAUUAAAAAUUGUAAGCACAGGAAAACAACCCUAAAAAAUGUGGACGUGUGUGUUUAAGAAACCAGCCUCCAAUUCUGUUUGUUAUACACUCAUGGGCUGGUCUGAUUAACAGGCUGAGCUUCAGUCCACAACCCAAAACACUUGUGCACAUAAACUCGUGGCUCAAAUACUAAA